GCUGUGGAACCCUCUCCGGCCAACACCUGAGUGCCCGUGUCCCCCUCCCCGCAGGGCUGAGCUUCCCUGCACGCCCCAGCCGACUACAAGGGGCAACAAUAAAGCCGAUGUCCAUCAUGCCGCCUUUUCAUUUCGGAAAGGGCAGAUCCUGACCUCGGUUCCUCAAGUGGAAGCUUGUCUUGGGCACUCACUGUUGUCACCAUUUGCUCCAACAUUUAAACAGAUGUAUAUUCAUACAUAUUUCCCCCCUAUUUGCCAUCCAGGCUUUUUUUAUUUCUUCCAUUUUCCCCCUCAGUCGAAGGGGAAGCUCCCCGGUAAUUGCAGGGGCAGGAGAGCGGCGUUCAGGGGGACAGUGGCACCCGGGCACACACCUGAGCCACACGCCCACGCCUUCGCGUGGGAACCCGCUCCCACCAUUCAGCUCCCAAGAAAACUGUUGAUCCCUAAGUGUGAGCCCGAACCUUUGCAUUUAGUGCUCACGGCUGCUUCGUUUCCUCCCUCCCCCAGCCCUUUCCCCCCGGCUCCGUGCCCGUGUUGGGGUAUCCAGGGGUAUCCAGGUCCCCCCGGUGGGCCGGGGCAGGUGCAGGGCGCGGGCGGCUGCGCCAGGACGGGAUCGCUGCGGGGGCACAGGAGAGGGACGUGCACUCCCUUCUCAGCCAAUUGGACAAGAAUGGGCUCUGUUAUUAUUGUUGUUGCUUUUUCUGUUAGUAAUAUUAUUGUUAUUGUUGUUGUUGUUGUUACUAUUAUAUUAAUUUAAAAACUAUCCCGUUGCAACUUGCAAAGAGCCUGUAAAUUUACCUUAAACCUUCUUUUUUUUUCCUAGCCAAUGGUGUCAGGGGCCGGCUAGCCUGUCCCUCCAGAGCAUUAACCCUUGUCGCUAGCUGGAGUGAGUGAGAAGCUGAGGUUUGGCCCUGAGGAGCCGUGUGUGUAGAUCUGGCACAGCUUUGCUCCCUUAACUCCUGGAUCUUUGUUUUGGUGGCGACCAGGGAGAGCAGGGAGCGCUGUGCUCGCAUUUCCCUCUGGCUUUUACACACGCACACACACGCACACACACAAAUCCCCUUUUCCAACUUUCUGCUUUUUGCGCUUCCCUUCCAGUUUUUUCACUUCUCAGACCUACUGGCAGCAUUUGCCGAGAUCUAGAUCCCCGUCGUGAUUUGAUUCAUAGAAAAAUGUGAGUGCUGGGUGCUACUGAUUUGGGUCAUCUGCAUGCAAUUCAAAAGCAAAAGGGACCUUGGAGUUUCUGGCAGAUAUUCCUCAGGCUGGAAUCCAGACAGCUUGUCUGAGCACGGAGAAACUACUCGCCUUCAGUCCUCAAAAUAUUAGCAAAAGACACUGUGUUUGCUGCUCCUUGGAUAAAAGCAUCCCUAAUGGUGAGUGUGGUCUGAAAAUAGCUUGAUGGACCUGCUUCAAAGGAGGUUCACACUUGUGGGUUUGAUGUGUCCACAGCAGCCCAGCCCCUGCAGGGAAGGGGUCCUGGGCUGUGUCUGUGCCCCAUGAGGGUGGCACUGGGCUGGGGCAGAGUGCAACAGGGGCAAAGGGAGAGUGAAGGCAGAUUUGGGAUGCAGGGUGGGAACAGGGAGGUCAGAGGAGCCAGUGAGGCUUGAGGAGGGAGGAGAGACCUCACAGCCUCCCUCACUCCAUUCCCUCCAUCGUGGGGCUGUCCCAGCUCUGCGCUGCAGCCCCUGCAGGUGCUCUGUGCACCUUGGGCAGGGAGCAUGAGGGCAGCCAGGCUGUGGCAUUCAGGGGACAUUUCUGCUCUGUCUGCCCCUCAGUGGGCUGCAGGUCUCCCCCUUCCCUUGGCCUGGCAGGAGCAGGAAGAGCACAGGGCUGCAUCCACAGGAACGGGCUUGUCAGGGUCAAGGAUCCAGUUCCACUCUCCUCUGUCCAAAGCAGAGCAGAUUGUAACCAUUACCUACUUUGUCUAUGCCCUGAGCAUGCUCUGGAUUCAGUACAAAGACCAUAAGCAUUCAUUAACUUCCCUGUACAGCCUCCAUGAAAAGAUUCCCAGCACCUGGAGUAAGCCUAUAAUGUUGGCUAUGGCAUACAGAGAAGUUGCUAUCUCUCCACUGCCUGUAUACAUUUAUUGUUCAAGUUAGUUUUUGUAACAAAAAUGGCAUUAAAGAAAUUAAAUAUCUAGGUUUUCAAGUCACAGAUAUAUUUUUAUCCUUAAACGUGCAGGAAAAAAAAAAAAUUGAAUGAGGGAGACUUCUAUUCUCAUUUGCAGGAUCUCCAGCCUUUUCAUUGUUUAAUUCACGUGCAUGCAAAUGUAGGGAUUAUGCAAGCCUCGGCAGGGCGUGCUCUGGAAGUUGCAUCCACUGCUGAACAAUUUAAGGAGCUAGGUUUCAUGGAGUUUGGCAAUCCCUUCCAGAAGUGCUGAAUCUAGGCCAGGAUUUAGGCUAGACUUGCACGGAGCUAUUAGAAAGCAUAGGUUGUGUGCAGUUAGCCUGGGAGCUGCAGAGCACAGCUACAGUCCUGCUUCUGUCCAGUGGCCUUAAUAAAGAUUCCCAUUUAUAUUCAUUACUGCAACCAAGUCCUGCCUCUAAUCUAUCGCAGGGGACGCUACAGAUAUAUUAUUUCUUUGUAGUCUCAAAAUGCUCAGAUGGUUUUUAACCUUAUUAAAUCUGAACCCCUUAAAUGUGCUUCUGAAGCAAAAGUUUUAGCAAUAAGCCUUCCAAAAAGUGCAAGAUUUACAAAGCAGAUUUAUGGCUGUGUGGUGAGUUAAGUAACGUUUCUCUCAGCAUAUCAUUUGCCAAAAUUAGAGGAAGGUCCCUGCUUCAGCUGAACAGGGAGCAUUAGGAAUGUGUAUUGUGCUGGUAGAUCAGGCUGUUAGUGCUCUAAGAAGCAGGACAACAACAUGUUAAUUUACCUAGAUGAUGUUCUGAUGGUUGUUGCAUUUCAGGAAAUAAUAAAACUUUGUUUGGAUUACGGAAUGCUUCAAAGUCCUCAGGAUUUCACAUUUACUGUAUGGGAAUAAAAUUGGUCAUAACAUGCCAGAGUCUCUAUCUUUGUUUUUUAAUAGAGCCAAGAAAACAAUUAUUUCAAAAGGUUAAACCACAAUCACAUGUACUGUGGCUCCAUGCAACUAUGUGAUUGUUUCUAAGUGUGCAGGUGCUAUAUUGGUGUUUACAAGUCAAGGAUCAGGCAGAGCUUUCAGAGCCUCUGUGGUACAUGGUGCAGCAUCAUGGCAGCUUACUUCACACCAAAAAAAGGCACACAGGUUCAGAAGUUGUAGGUAUUGAUGAAUCUGAAACGAAAAGACAGAUCUUCCUAGUCAGCUUAGGAUUGUUUUUCUGGUCAGAAAUUAUGUAAAUAAUGGUUAGCUGAAUGAGAAAACUCAGUGUUACUAAAAUAAUAUGCUAUCAGGUUUUUGCUAUGUUGUGUAAUAACUAAGCAGACUUUUUGGCUACAGAAAGAGGAAACAGUGCAUAGACUGCACUUUGAUUUCAGCAUUUGGUAAACAGUAUGAUAAUGCAGAUGUUUGUUCAUUUUUCAUCUACAUUUUGGGGCCACAUGUUUUCAGUCAAGAUUUGGAGACUUAUUUUCUGAGUUAACUGUUUUCUUCUAACUGUAUUCUUUAGAUUAUGAUUUUAGAGCCAGCUGAAAACUGAGGGGGACCUGCCUAAGACCAUCUCUACCCUCACAGUAGUUAAUUUUAUUGUAUGAGUAAAAGCAAAAUUCUAUGAGAGUAUAUGAGAGUAUAGGAUUAAAAGCCAAUCAAUGAAGAAAAAAAAAAUGGCCUUAGAAACACCAGUGUCAGCAUCUCAGGGGCAGAAAUUCCCCUUUUUAUAUUAUAGGCAAAAAGAGUUCUAGAGUGGAGCCUUCUCCCAGCACCUGGCCUGGGAUAGGAUGUGUAUUCUGGCAAUUUGGCUAAAUAAACAAGCUGAAAAAUCAGCAAAUCUACACUGUAAAAGCCUGUAGCCAGAUGCAACAGGAAAGCAAAUUUUUCUGUCUCUAGGCAGAUUGGUACAAAAUGCAGUUGAGGGAUAUCUUUUCCCUAGACAGAGAAAGCAAAAUUUGGAUGAGUGUUUACUCCAUCUGCCUGUUUUGGACAAUGGUGUUCAAGGUGACCAGAAAACUCUUCAAAAUAACAUACAAGUGUUCCUCUGGAGGAAUUUCUGUAAGUUUUAAGUGCAUUAGAUUCCUAUAUGGGUGGAUACUGAUUUUUUAUCAAGAAUGUGUCUCCUAACAACGUGGUGCUACUGACAACAAAUCUCAUCAGUGUCUUCCAUACACCAGUCACUGACUAUUCGAGGGAGAAGGAAUUUCCUCGAGUAACAAUGUUUUAUAGUAUGCAUCCAUUCAAAGUACAUUAUUUCUGUGGGUUUUAUAUUAAGUGGAAAUGUAUUAAAUGCAGUAUGAACCAAUUGAUCAAGUGAAUUUAUAAUAUGCAUUUAUAUGAAGUGUUCCCAGAAAUUAAUUAACAGAAAGUUUAAGGUUAGUUCUGUAUUUAUUUGAGGUUCUUUUAUGUAUCUUUAAAGUACUAGGAGUUAAAAUUUCCACUUUUGAAAUUGAAUUCUGGGCUAUAAGACUAACUUGGAAGUAGAUCUAUCUGGAGUGAAAUCUAUAUCACUUGAGGAGAAUCUUGUUCUAAAUAUGUAUUGCCUUCAAAGCAAUAGAUAUCAUCCUUUGUUUGUUUGUUGAUAACUUCUCAAAUACUUUGAAGAAAGAAGUCUCGGGGUGCAUUUGCAAACUUGGCACUUGGCAGAAGAGGAAUUGUGAAGACUCAAAAUAUUGUAGUGUCAUGUUCUUGGUCUCUUUCAGGUGAUAUCCAAAAUGCACGAGGUCUAAAACUGCAGACUGCCAGAGCAAUUAAUCAGUGGAAGCCAGGGACGAGGAUUCCUGUGUGACUUGCAGAAAAUCCAUGGAUGUAUCCAGCUGCCUUCAAGCAGCAGUAACCCCUGGGGGGAAAGGCAGGAUGCAUGUCUCCACUGGUCAUCCCUAGAGACAGCUUUAAGGUGGUCCCAGCUCCCCUCUGUUGGGGUCUGUGCUUCCCUGGAGAAGGCUGGUUGCACCUCAGGCAGGAAAACGCCCAAAGGCACAGGCUUGGCUGUGGGGAUUCCCUGCUGUGGGAGCCCUUCAGACACCAAUAUCUGUCUUCUUUCCUAUGUGGAAACUUAGGAAAGGGUUGAAAUAUAUCUGAGGGAAUUCUGCCAGCUAUUCAUGUAUCUACAUUUUCUACUCACUCAAGGAGAGCAGUGGUAACCAAUGUACUAAAAGUCUUCAAAUGCUGACAAAUACAAUUUAGCUUUGAAGGCUGCCAGCAAUUCUAUGGUAGUAAAUCCCAUUUGCAAUCAAAGGGUGAGUCAUUAGCCUUGACAUUUGAGAAAUGGAGAUUACUAUGAAUUUAUGAAAAAGGUUCCCUAAAAUGUUUCCUUAGCAACUGCUGCUGAGGAGCCUGGGGCAUCUCUCAGGUCCCCAGGCUCAGGAAAGCCAGCAGCAGUGGAGCAGAUGGUUUCCUAUCCACUUGCUGUAUGUAGUGCUAAGGGAUCACUAUCCCUAUCCACUCAAGUCUUGUCUAAGUGAGGAAAAAAUGGUGUUUUCUUGUGUUCAUUUAUCUUUACUGAGCUGACUUAAUGCUGCUGGAACUGUUGCAAUGGGCACAGCUUAUUAUACAACCCAGAGGCUUGAGUAUCCUGCACAGGGCUAUGAGCAACUUGGUCAGUUCCAAACAUGAGCCCAAGUGAAGUGAUAUGACAGCUUAUUGCCGUCAUAAAAAGCAUGCUGUUUUAUUUCAAAGGGGUUUCGUUAAAAAAAAAAAUUAGAGAAAGUUUAUAGUUUUUCAUUUAUCCUCUCUUUCUGAAAUGCUCUUAAGUCCUCUACUCAAUCUUUUACUUAUAGCCGUGAGUUUUUCUUCUAGGUCAAGAAGACAGAGUAAUGAAGACUUCCCAUCUGUAGAGAAACAACAGAAUAUUUAUUGACCUGCUGUAAAAUCGCAACCAUUGACAAUAUUAAGUAUUUUGUAACUUAGCCAGUAAAUUUAAUCUCAACACAUUUACUUUGGUUAAGCCAGAGAAAAGUACUUUUCUCUUAGUUAAGCAGGAUCCUUAGCUGGCUCAAAAAAGGUGAGAGACCUCAAGGUGAGCAGUGGGAAGGUGAGAAUGGGGAAGAAGGGGACAUGGUGUGCAGACAGACCUGGGUGCUCCUUGAAAUGGCAAAGGGGGUGGAAGGCAUUGGGGUUGUGCAGAGGGAGGAAUCUCUUGGGUGUACUACAGCAACAUCUGUGCCUUGCCUCAGUCAGGUAGGCUGUGAAACCAGAGAUAAGUCCCAAGAAAAGCUGUAUGAUUCCAAAGCCAUGGAGAAAUACCCUUAUGGCAUCUGCAUGGACCAGUGCAAAAAGUUUCUUCUGGACCUAGAGAACAAGUUUUAGUGAAGAAAUGUGCAGCAGCUCACCAGCACAUACUGUAUUUUUUUUUUCUGUUGUAUUAAAUUAAUUUCUUUAGUAAAUUAAAUUCUAAUUUUCUGUUUCCAGUAGUCAAUAUUCUAUUUGCAUGACUUCCUUUGGUGGUAACAUCUCAUGAAUUUCAUGUGUAUGUGAUUUUUUUUUCUUCAGGAUUUUUCAGCUCCAAUAAAAAACCUAACAGCUUCUAAGGAAAAGAUACUACUGCCACAAUCCAAAUAUGAGCUUAGUUCUUAGCAAUUCUGCUGCAGAAUAUUUUCAGGGGAGUGGCUGCACUUCAUGACAUUCUUACAAAAAUAUGAAGAAUAUUAAUUUUUUCCAAUGGAAAUCAAUCCUUUCUUUUCUCCUCUGUGAAACAAGACACUCACCGUGUUUCUAUUGCUCCCGUGCUCUACAUCCACUGAGAAUGGCCUGUCAUUCUGCAAACUCUCAUGUAUUUUACAGAGUCAACAUUGCUAUUCAUCUCAUGCGACUGCAGCCAAUCUUGGCUGCCAGGUGAGACGCGAUGUUGAAACAGAGAAACCAUCUCAAGGAAAUACAAGCUCUCAAAGCGUGAAUGGCUCUGCGGAUCAGAGAAGGCAUUUUGAAUUACACCUGGAAAUGAAGCGGGGAGCAGCCGAGUCCCCAGAGCACGGGUGCAGGGAUGGGGAGGAGGAGCGGUGGCAGGGCUGGCGGUGCCACCCUCGCCCAUUAGGCUCUCGCAGGUCGGGUCUGCGCACAUCGGGGAUGAUUGGGAGCAGCUGCAAGCUGAGCCCAGUGCAGCGCUCCCAAUACAUUCCAGAUGAUGAAUAUGAUGCAGGCUUACUGGAAGAAAAAUAUAUUUCUGAAGAGAAAAACAAUUACUUCUCAAGGCAAGACAAUGAAGCUGAACCGACGCUACGUGGGCAUAAAAUAGAGCAGAACUUUUGGGCAAUGGCUUUAGCUUCUAAUAAAUCACCCACCUGGAGAUACUUUUGCAGAGUGAGCUUGGAUGUAUCAGACCUCAAGUAUUUUCAGAGGUAUAUAAAGUUGAAAAAUUAGUAAUUUAAACCUUUAUUUUUCCCCAAAGGGACGGACACUUUGUUGUGUCAUAACCUCCGAUUUUCAUGUUAGCAGAAAGGUGCCCUUGCCAGUCCAAACAACACGUGGGCUGUCUCAUGGAAGUUAUGAAAAAAGGCUUGGAAACACCACUUGAUACAGUGGGUUUCACUGGCUGAAUCUUCAGAGGGGACUUGAACGAAAUUUGCAAAAACAUGUCAAAAGUUAAGUGGCGAAAAUCAGCUUAAAUGCCUAAUUUUAAUUUUGUUUGUGCUCUUUGUUGUUUCAUUGUGGAGGGAGGGAAGAAGCUGUCUUUUUUCUCCCUGUCCUUUCAUUUUGUUUGGGAGAAAAUGGAUGUUGGUGAAAAGAAGAGAGCUCUGGCAGGGACUGGAAAGAGGUUGUUUAUUCUGUUUUGUUUUCUUUAGAAAGGGGCAACUCUUCUAAAACUGGUGAUGAUCCAGUUAAAGGGGGACUCCGGGUGGGGAAGAGAAAAGAAAACUAAUAAUCAGCCUCUAAAUGACAAGUUUUCUCUUGAACAAAAGAGCAACAGGAGGCAGUGCAGGCAGGGGGUCAGUGCCCAGGGGUAACGUGACCAAAACAAUGGAUGGAGAAUGUGUGCAGCUUUUGCCACUCCAGAAGCUGCUGCCCCAGUGCCCUCACUGAGGGACUGCAAGGGUCAAACCUGAUCCAGUGCUGGGCAAGUGUGGUGCCACUUCUGGAGUCCUCCGAAGAGGAGGCAAUGACUGACUGUGGGUAAUGCAAGCAGGAAUUGAAGAAUUCCCAGGGAAUCCCCCCAGUUCUGAAUGACAGUGUGACUGAACAGCCCCAGCCAAUAAGGCAGGGUCCCUACCAGCAGUGGGGCUAAAGGCGGGGUUUAAAGUGACUUCUGUUAAAGAUGGAGACUGCUUGGCAUCAUCUGUGCUUCCCUUGCACUUGGUUAAUUGCCUGUUGGGGAAAGGCAGUGGUGCUGGAUAAACUGAAGCGAGAUGAUUUCAAACUAUUAUGAGCGUACACGCAGAAGUUCAUUCUGGUUUAGACUAAAUUGGUUUUAAUUUCAAUUCAUGUAACUUCCGUGUGGACGAGGCCUAUGGCUUGCCAUUUUGCAGCAAUGGUGAAUUUAUAGCAUAUGUGCUGCAAAUGGUCUAUCAUGCAAAUUCUCCUGGUAUUUGCUCCUAGUCCAGUUCCAGCUGUCGGUGGAGAUGGAGGAGCAGAAUAGACCACUCACACGGCCUCCCAUGUAAUGCAGAUUGGAUCCAUUGUCAGUCAGAUGGACUGGUGGUGUGGGAGCAGUGUGAAGCCAGUUCUUUCACUACAUGGUGUGUAAAGCAAUGAGGCAGACAAAAGCUGGAUUUAAAUUAGGGAAUAUUUCUGCCAAAUUUCGUUCUCUGAAGCAGAAAAAUAAAACACUUAAUGUGUCUGGCAAUGUUUAUUCUGUGCACAGGGUUUUAGCUGAUCAUAAAAGAAGAGCUAUGUGUGAACACUAUCUGGCAGCUUCAUCAUAUUCUGAGGAGAUGAGAGAGUAUGAGUCCACCAUGGUCUGAAAAAGUAUCGACUGAGAAAGUGGAAACAAUUUGGCAGGAAAACAAGAUGGCAAGAGAAAAAGAAAAAAAAAUAGGUUCUUUUCGAUUAGGUAGGAAUUACCAGUUAUAAUGACAGCAAAAUUGUAUCUGCCACAAAAGCUCCAUUUUAAAAGUCCUUGAUGUCCUCAGUGUCCUGCUCAAUGGCCAGAGGCUUCCUACUUUGCCUUCUUGCUGCUUAUUCAAAGAAAGGCAACAUCUGAAUGAUCGGAAAAUAUAUGUGCUGCUCAUGCAGUAACUGCACGUGCAUGAAAAUAAAAGAAUUCCUUGCCUUUGCGCCAUGGGUAUCUGUGCUGAUAAGGAGGCAGUAACCCUCAUUACAUGCAUAUUUGAAGACUUGGCCCUGAAUUCUACUGGUGAACUAUUUUCCAUGACUUUUCCACUGUAUCUUCUUAGAGGUUUGUGCUCCAAUCAUCCAAUACCUUGACAGAAAUAGAAGACUGUGUUAAAAAUAAUCCAAAGAAAUAAUACAAGAUCACUUUUAAUUCAAAAUUAUUGAAAGAACAAGUAUCAGCUAAUGUGAAUGAAAACAUAGUUGUGUAAUCCAAGUAAGAAGAAUGUCAAGAAUAACAACUUUGUAACUGGGUUUGGAAAAACAAACAAUUCUUUCCUUUCUUUGCAUAAUAAAUAUGAUGUGGGUAGCAAAAAAUAACAUUUUA
Molecule: non-coding RNA, 9653 nt
Organism: Zonotrichia albicollis (white-throated sparrow)
Lineage: Eukaryota; Metazoa; Chordata; Aves; Passeriformes; Passerellidae
Source: RefSeq, a predicted model, not a curated record